RNAcentral lists this unclassified non-coding RNA (25 nucleotides) under Mus musculus (house mouse). RNAcentral's name for it is "oocyte_clustered_small_RNA1808". The record is from RNAcentral. Lineage: Eukaryota; Metazoa; Chordata; Mammalia; Rodentia; Muridae.
UGUACGAUGUUGGAGGCAUUGUUUG